Pelobates cultripes (western spadefoot toad) is the source of this 540-nucleotide non-coding RNA. The record is from the annotation of a GenBank genome assembly. Lineage: Eukaryota; Metazoa; Chordata; Amphibia; Anura; Pelobatidae.
CUCCAGGUCCGUGAGAGUGAGCAGGAUGUCAUCUGCGUACGCAGAUACUUUAUACUGCUCUGUUGCUAUUGUCAGUCCCUUUAUGUUUGGGUGUUUCCUAAUCUUGUAGAGGAGGGGUUCUAGGGCUAGUAUGAAGAGGAGCGGCGAGAGAGGGCAGCCCUGCCUUGUGCCGUUACUUAGCUGAAAUGGUUUUGGGAUCGCUCCUGGUAUGGCUAUUUGGGCCUGUGGAUUCGUGUACAGAGCUUUUACCGCUGUGAUGUAGUUUUCUGGUAGGCCUAUGUGACGCAAUAGGGCGAACAAGUAAUACCAUUGGAUCCUGUCGAAGGCCUUCUCCGCGUCCAGCGAUAGGACGAGAGAAGGCGCCCGAGUUUUACCGGCCCACCAGAUCAGGUCCACUGCACGUCUAGUGUUCUCAUACAGUUGCCUAUUGGCACAAAGCCCACCUGGUCCGCGUGGACCAGCCUGGGCAGGAUGUGACCCAGCCUGGUGGCCAAGAUCUUGGCGUAGAUUUUGGAGUCUAUAUUAAUCGGGGAGAUGGGG